Molecule: microRNA precursor, 209 nt
Filed under: Oryza nivara
Lineage: Eukaryota; Viridiplantae; Streptophyta; Magnoliopsida; Poales; Poaceae
Description: MIR812 microRNA precursor family
Rfam family: MIR812 microRNA precursor family
Source: Rfam by way of RNAcentral
AAUAAGUGCAGUUUUGCACUAUUCAUCUUCAACGUUUGACCGUCCGUCUUAUUUGAAAAUUUUUUAUGAUUGGUAUUUUUAUUGCUAUUAGAUGAUAAAACAUGAAUAGUACUUUAUGUGUGACUAAAUGUUUUUAAUUUUUUCAUAAAUUUUUUAAAUAAGACGGACGGUCAAACGUUGAACGUGAAUAGUGCAAAACUGCACUUAUU